RNAcentral lists this ribosomal RNA (164 nucleotides) under uncultured bacterium. RNAcentral's name for it is "partial 16S rRNA". It matches the Rfam family "Bacterial small subunit ribosomal RNA", at positions 355 to 511 of the family's 1533-position model. The record is from RNAcentral.
UAGGGAAUCUUCCACAAUGGGCGCAAGCCUGAUGGAGCAACACCGCGUGAGUGAAGAAGGGUUUCGGCUCGUAAAGCUCUGUUGUUAGAGAAGAACGUGCGUGAGAGCAACUGUUCACGCAGUGACGGUAUCUAACCAGAAAGUCACGGCUAACUACGUGCCAA